UGUUUUCUUGACCCAGACUUCUUUUUCACUGCAUUAUCCAUUUUGAACCCACAAGCUUCACAUGAUCAUCAAGAAAUCACUGAUGUUGCCACCUACAAAUAAAUAACGUUUACCCAGUCAUAAUCUGCACAUCCUUCGGUAUUAGGACAAAAUGGCCAGUCGGCAGAAAUGUGACCACUUGGCACAAUUAGCAAUGACAGAGACUAAAUUACAGCCAAUAGUCAUUUAUGUGGACUCAUAAUAGUCAUGUAUUAUAAUCAUAAGAUAUUACUGUGACACAUUUAUAAUACACCCUAAAGACAUGGUAGCUCCAAUGAGAAAACAAAAGACAGAUAGCGUCACGUGCACAUUCCCCUUAUUAGAAAUAAAUAAAAAAUAUAGAAACAUGUGAUGAAAAUUUAUUUUUAUUUCUCAAGAAAUUAGCUGUAACCAAUUCAAGAGUUACAUGGUAACUAUCAAGCGAGAAAAAAGAGAAGAUGAUAUAUCAACAUGAUUAUUAAUGGAAGAUCAAAAGACAAUCUGAUGUAUCAGCUGUACUUUACAAACAUGUAUUUAUAUGACAAACAUUGACACCAUUCUUAAUGAGGUUCUCAUAGCAGGAUUCAUAAUAGUCAUAUGUUGAGAAGAAACAAACACAUCUCAUUUAUCUGCACUUAGCUUUAUUAUUUUGGAAGGAAGUGCACUCCGCACGAUAUAAGAAGAGCAAAGGUAUCACCGUAUCGGCAAAAACAUGUGUUACAAGAUGGCACCAACCCACUGGAAAGAAAUAUUUUAUUUUAAAGCAGAGAAAAUCAUAGCAAAUGCAAAUCUUUUCAUUUAUCUCCCGAAAGCUUUGUAGCAUGAGAAACUUCAUACUCCGAUGUGGCGUUGGUUAAACAGACAAUAUAUAUGUAUAUAUUACAUGCUAAGUAGGUAGCAAUAUUACAGAGAUCAUGAUACUAUUAAAUAUGAAAUGUAAGAAAAAUGAAAUGCAUAGCAAAUUUUCUGACGAAAACAAGGUGCUUUUUGCAAAAACAGUACAAACUCGGAUGGUUGCAGAUGAACUACGGAUUUCGGUCUUUUGAAGUGGCAAGCAACUCAAGAUUCAAUGGGAACAUGCCCAAUCUCUUCAGUAUGGUACUUCAAACAUUUCCUAUCAAAAUCAUAGUUAAAUAUUUCUUCCUUGUAUACGUGGGAGAUAAAACUAGGCAAUCUGAAGAAAAUAGUCAGAAGGAAAGAUGAAAGCCAAGCACAUAAGUGUAAAGAAAAUAUACAACCAAACUAAAAGUGGAACCUAGUUAUUUUGUGCCCUACAUCCAGAAUAAUGAUGUUGUGGUAGAGAGAGAAAAUUAAUAGCCAUUCUAAAAUGAACUAACUAACUAUCACUGAAAUAUAUUUUAGGCUCUAACAGAGAUAAAGGCUGAAGAAAACAGAACCAAUAGCUAACUAUGUGUGCACCUGUAACACAAAAUAGUCUACCUUUUACAACACAAGUGACCAGAGGGCACAACUGUACACCUUACUUUCAAGAACACUAACUGAAGAGGUCAAGCAAGUAUAUUUGUCUUUUUAGAAAAGUGUCUCCAUUAUCAUCUCUCAUCCGCACCAUUUUCUAUCAUUUGGCUUCGAACUCUACUAUCAGCCUUACUCAAAACCCUGAUAUCUAACUUGCUCAAUCCAGAGUCUUGCAAUGUAAAGUUUAUUACAGAGUUUAUCCUUACGUUGAACAGGAAAGUACCAAAAUUAAUAGUAUGAUGUACAAAAAAAUUAUAUUGGUACAGUAACGGCAAGAUAAUCUAAAAAUGAAAAACAAGACAAAGAAUUAGUGCCACAAAAUAAUGAGAGAUACAAUCAUUUUCUACUAAAAGGUACCACAAUAAAAAACGAGAGGUGCAAUCGCUUUCUGCUACAAAAUGCUAUUACAAAACAGAACAGAAAAGAAAAGGUAUAUAGAUUAUUAUAAAUAAAAAACAAAAGUUUAAGUUUCAUAUGGAUGAUAAGCACGAAACUCUCAGGCAAUGCCCAACUUCCUCAUGAUCAGCGAGCCAACAAGUUAUGCAAAAUAGUAAGGAAUCAAACUCCUCUCAACUUACAAUGCCUAAAAAUGUCGAUCAAGUAUCUUUGUUCUUUCUAGUUCAGAAAAAAUUACUAUCCAACAAAGCUAGAAGUAAAGGGCCCAGAAAUGCAAUUUAGUGCUCCUACAUGAUAGGUGAUAUAAAUCCAGACAGUGUUGAGUUUCAAGAACUGUACUCAUAAACUGAAUCUAAAGUUCUUGGCACUUGAGUUGUUGAACUACCUUUAAAAACUAAUGGUGAGGAGACCAGAGGCAGCAGCCACUAUACAAGGCAUUGCCUACUUCACUCCUGUUUAUCGGAUCAGUGUGUGCUCCUAUACCAAUAUGAGGAAGAGGCAGCAUGGCAGUAGCCUGUUUAACAACUGAUUAGUGUAAUCACAUUUGUAUCAUAAGCUGCAGUUAAAGCAUUACCAAAUAUCAUUCAUACAUAGCUGGAAUUUCAUUCAUAGGAAACUGAUUUGAACUACAUGAGCCAAAAUCAAAAUAAUAAUCGCACCUCUCCUUGUAGUACCAAUCGUUAACCUGCGCCAUUACCAGUGCUUUAACCAUGAUAAAUCAAAUCUACCAAAAGCCCAAAAUCAAAAUAAUAGUUGCACCUCUCCUUGUAGUACCAAUCGUUAACCUGCGCCAUUACCAGUGCUUUAACCAUGAUAAAUCAAAUCUAUCAUAAGCUAUACAGAAAAAAUACAGUCUAUAGAGGGAUAAUAAUCUUGCACUUACCUCAACCAAUCACAUGUCCAAACGCUAGCCAGAUUGAUAUGAUCGUUGAGAAGAAACAUAUUAAUGGAGAAAGCCACAGGAAAAU
RNAcentral lists this long non-coding RNA (2858 nucleotides) under Triticum aestivum (bread wheat). Its description in RNAcentral is "long non-coding RNA (TAES_LNC027825)". The record is from RNAcentral. Lineage: Eukaryota; Viridiplantae; Streptophyta; Magnoliopsida; Poales; Poaceae.